UACAGGGGGCUCGAGCGUUAGUCGGAAUCACUGGGCGUAAAGGGCGCGUAGGCGGCGCGGGCAGUCAACGGUGAAAGCUCGGGGCUCAACUCCGAGUCGGCCGUCGAUACUCCCGCGCUCGAGCACUGUAGAGGCAGGUGGAAUUCCGGGUGUAGCGGUGGAAUGCGUAGAGAUCCGGAAGAACACCGGUGGCGAAGGCGGCCUGCUGGGCAGUAGCUGACGCUGAGGCGCGACAGCGUGGGGAGCAAACAGG
This 253-nucleotide ribosomal RNA is filed under the name uncultured bacterium. RNAcentral describes it as "partial 16S ribosomal RNA". It matches the Rfam family "Bacterial small subunit ribosomal RNA", at positions 524 to 776 of the family's 1533-position model. The record is from RNAcentral.